CCUACGGGAGGCAGUAGUAGGGAAUUUUGCGCAAUGGGCGAAAGCCUGACGCAGCAACGCCGCGUGAUCGAGACGCCCUUCGGGGUGUAAAGAUCUGUCAGUGGAGACGAACCUUGACGGUACCCACAGAGGAAGCACCGGCUAACUCCGUGCCAGCAGCCGCGGUAUUACGGGGGGUGCAAGCGUUGUCCGGAAUCAUUGGGCGUAAAGAGUUCGUAGGCGGCACGGAAAGUCUGGUGUUAAAGGCAGGGGCUCAACUCCUGUACGGCACUGGACACUUGCGAGCUAGAUUGCGGUAGAGGUAAGCGGAAUGCGUGGUGUAGCGGUGAAAUGCUUAGAUAGCACGAGGAACAUCGAUGGCGUAGGCACUUUACUGGGCCGUAAUUGACGCUGAGGAACGAAAGCGUGGGUAGCAAACAGGAUUAGAUACCCCGGUAGUC
RNAcentral lists this ribosomal RNA (440 nucleotides) under uncultured bacterium. RNAcentral's name for it is "partial 16S ribosomal RNA". It matches the Rfam family "Bacterial small subunit ribosomal RNA", at positions 338 to 795 of the family's 1533-position model. The record is from RNAcentral.